Molecule: ribosomal RNA, 183 nt
Filed under: Triticum aestivum (bread wheat)
Lineage: Eukaryota; Viridiplantae; Streptophyta; Magnoliopsida; Poales; Poaceae
Description: partial small subunit ribosomal RNA
Source: RNAcentral
AUGGUGGUCAACCUCUUCAGGAUGGCUCCCGCUAAGAGCACCAAUCAGAAUCAGAAUCAAGAUCCGCCACCACCUCCACCUCCUCCGGAGGCAUGGCAAGCUGUGAUGGCCGCAACCAAUGCAAACACACAGUUGAUCAUGCAAAUUCUUCAAGAGCGCAAUCAAGGCAACCAAGGGAACUAA